Anolis carolinensis (green anole) is the source of this 697-nucleotide long non-coding RNA. RefSeq lists it as uncharacterized. The record is from RefSeq and is a predicted model, not a curated record. Lineage: Eukaryota; Metazoa; Chordata; Lepidosauria; Squamata; Anolidae. The transcript is spliced from 2 exons.
UAUGAUUGAGCCUCAUGGCUCUGCUUCUGGCAGACGUGGACGUAAGACUCCUCGAGAGUCAGAUACUCUCGAGGAGCGAGAAAGAAAGAGGCUGCGAGAUAUCUUUGCAGAACCAUCUGACGAAGAGUCUUUUAAGGGGUUCACGGAGAGAAUGGAGGAAGAGCUGGUUAGCUCGGAAGAGGAUGAGAUGGAUUGGACUCGGCUUUGACCUUCCGUCGUCUUCUUGACGGACGCCAUCUGCUACUCUGGAUUUACGGACUGAAAACUGACUACGGGCUCGCUUUCUCCUAUUGAACUUGGAAAACUGCAAACGUCUGAUUCUGCCUCUCGACCUACGGAACGAACUGGGACUACGCUACUGCUUCAAUCCUUGGCUGCUGAGUUUGUAUUGGAAAUUUGCCUUGCUGUGUGAAGGAGUGACUCCUAGUUACUCAAAACAUAGUGCUGGCAGCAGAGAGGCAAUCUGCUGCCAAUUAGUUGCAUUCUUUUGAACUCUUUGUUUCCCAGCUUCUGUUUGUUUUUCCCCAGGCUGAAGCAAGCUGUUUUGAUUUUACCCGGAUUAAACUCCGGUUUAAUCCGGUUUAUCUUUUGAACGUUUUUCUUGCCCCUUUUUGUUUUUAAAGGCUAAAGUUGCCUUGCCCUUGUCUUUUACGGGCAUUUUGAGUUCUGUAAAUCCAAUAAACUCUGUUAUCUUUGA